GUUUCUUGUCAGAGAUCCCUGUCUACCUGAGACCAAUUCAGAGUGGCUGUAAGCAUAUACAGUUCAGUCAUGUAUAGAGCUUGCAAGGAGGUGGGACAUGCUUAGCAAAGAGACACUGUCUCGGGAGUUCAGCUAUUAAGCUCCGGCAAGUCUUUGAGGAAAGGUGGCUACUUCUCAGUAGCGGCUUUACCACCUCAUCACUGUACUCUGCUUGGCAAAGAGGUUCUUCAAGCACUGCUCCACAGAAGGAGAGCCACUUAAGAAAGGGAGGAAUCAAUACAACUCAAUGGAUUGCAGACUGAUCCUCAUUUCAAACAUACCCCAAAGCGUAAGUCUGAGCUGUGA
Meleagris gallopavo (turkey) is the source of this 345-nucleotide non-coding RNA. The record is from RefSeq and is a predicted model, not a curated record. NCBI's taxonomy places the organism in Eukaryota, Metazoa, Chordata, Aves, Galliformes, Phasianidae.